CCCCUCCUCGGCUGCCCGGGGGAACGCCAGCCCCCAGCCGGUGUAGCAUCCUCAGGAAGCGCAGGGUUUGGAGCUGUCAGCUGCUGCAACGUCCCGCUGACGUUUGCCCUCCGCGCUGAGUCUCUGUAGUUAUCUCUGCUGCCAGUUGUACUAGUUCCUGGGACUUUCUCCACAAUCUUGAAAGGAGGUCAGAGCUUGUAACUUUUGAGCCCAGUGACAAGGGUGCCUUGCUCUUGCAAACAGGGUUAAGUCAACGCAGAAAAGGCUUGUUCACCUUGUGCAGCUCCUUUCUGGGAUCCCAGUGACAAAACUGUGGCGGUCUUAUUUCUGUCAAAACCAGUUCUCGCGUCCAUCCUGUAGGAAGGUACAUUGUAGUAAUGUGUGUGCCAGAGCCUGCCACGGACUACAUUAGCUGCCUUCUGUCACUGUCUUCUAUUUUUUUCCUAAUUGGCUGAUCUCUUUAACUGUAUACCUUUUGCUGCCACGGAUUUGGUGUACUGUGGUGCUGUCUACCACUCUAAAGCCUCCUGAAAGCUUCAUUUUGAUCCCUUGUAAUUAUGUGAUCCAGAAGUCAGCAUAGCUAGUAUUUCCUCCUAGUUUUCUGUCAUCCCUCCUGUUCGUGCUUCCAGCUUAAGUUGUUCCAGAGUCCUGGACUUUCUUGCCCUCUAUGCACAGAGGAAAGGAAAGAGGAAUUGUGUCUGUGGACGUGGAAACUUUUUUUUUUUAAAUGGGUAUUUUACAAUGUGGUACUGUAUUAAAACAAAUGUUAUGAAGAUGUCUUGUAAGAUAGUAAAGAACAGAAAUCAAAGCUGUAGUAUCUAUUGAUCGUGCCUUAAUGAGGUGGACAAGAUUUUUAUACAGCAUGCCAAUAUUGAUCUGUGCUUUGUCUUGGACGCGACUGCUGUGGAAGAGGGCCAAGGAGGAUGCCAAGGACUGCAUCUGAUUCUUGACAGCCAGGAACCUGACCAAAACUCUGGCAAAGAGACAAGAGUGCUUUUCUCCCACAAACUCCCAUUUGUGGUGUCAGUCUGUCUUCCAUUCCUAGAAAUCUGCGGGUGCUGUGGAGGUGCUAGGAAACCUGAGGUUGCUAGACCAACAUGGCUCCUCCUGAUAACUGCUCAGUGCCUGACAAAGUGAAAAGAACAAAAGUGAACGUUUUUGACUUUGUGGAAACCUCUUAAACACAUGCAUUCAUAGUGCAGGCAUGGAGGGGUUGCUCAAAGGUGGAAAGCAAAAAAAAAAGCAGAGGAGCCAAAAUGGAGGGCUUUUCUUCGGCCAAAGAGAUGGCAGAGAACAGGCUCUCUCCAUCCAGGAAGCUAAAGAGAUCUUCGAAACAGCAUAUCAAGUCUUGCAGGACUUGACCCAGGAAACUGCACAACUGGCUGGGGCUGUGACUUCAGAAAUGCUGAGUGGCAUUGGAAGGCGUGAUCCGUGAAAGCUGCUAUUUUACCUACAGAUACUUCUCUUGAUGUCUUGCUAUGUCAUAUGAGCUAUAAGCUUCAUCGGCCCUGGAGUAAACUUUGGAGGCAGUCUGCCACUGGAACACUCUUCAGGAGCACCUUUGCAUGGCAGUGAAAGCAGCAGUAUGAGGGAACAGUGUGGCGAGCUGAUGUGAGUGAGCCUCUGCUGUUUGAGGCCCCCGGCCCUCCUGCCUGGACACGUGAGGAAAGCUUUCAAGGAGUUCCUGAGUGCCUUAGUACUUGUUACAGCACCGUGCCUGCUCACACUUCUGAAGUACCUGUACUCAGAAAAACAAAGCUGGUGAUGAGACUUGAAGAAGUUGGUGUGCCUAGCACUGGUGGCCCCUGCUAUUUUAUUGAUUUUUAUGUGUGUUACAGCCUGUUUAAUAGAUCUUCCCGAGUCUCUGGCUUGUGCUACUGCACUGGCGUAGAGAGUGAGCUUGUCUGCUGUGCCUCCAGGAAUUCCUGAAAGUACUUGCAGGGCAAAAUGAGCCCUACAGCUCAAAAACACAGCUUUCCAUUCCUGCCCGGAUUGAGCCUCGCAACAGUUGCUGAUUUCGCUCUCAAUGCAUUUACACCCAGUGGUUUCCCUCAAGAAGAAAGCGAAACUGAAAGGAAAACAACUGAAAGAAAAACUAAUAAAAGCAGCACUAAUUCUUUUAUAGCCUGAAAUAGAAAGACUGUGACCUUGCAGAGUGCUUUGGUACCCUUUGCAGACCAUGCCAAGUAGUUGAAAGGCUUAGGUAGGGCAUGUGUCCAAAAGGGGCACGUGAAGGUGAUUGUAUCUCUUGUAGCUGUCUGGCUCUUGCAGACACAUCCCUGCUCUCUGGGACCCUUAACGUGUGUGGAAAAAGUUGCUUUGGCAGCCUUAAACCUUCUAACCAGCACGUGCUGUCUGUACCUCAGUGUCCCAGCGUGCAUCACUGUGGUUUUGAAAGCUGCUUAAGCAUUAUUUGUGGAGGGGUUGGGUUCCUUUACAUUCUAGAUUUCCAAAAAAAGCCCUCAUCAAGUGUGUAAUAGUGGUAGUAAUAGUAGUGGUAAAGGUAGUUUUUCCUUGAAAACAUAUUGUAUCAACUGUGCUAAGCAAGUCAAGCUCUGUUAGAAAAUGUUGGGUUGACUUGAGGAUGUUAUUGUCAACCACUCUAAGCAGUAUGUCUUUGGCAAAUAUCUAAUUUAGCACAGCUUUCAGUCUCAGUGCAUAUUGAAGUGCUUCUUUCUGGGUGUCAUUUUGGGACGUGUACGUAGGGACACCUGUGUAUGUCACUGAGUGUUGGCACAGGUGUGCCUACCCAUAGGGCUCUUGGUGGGUGUCAGCCUUUAAUAACUGUUACUAGAAGUGCCUUUUUCACAGAAAUGUAUAUCUCAAUUGCUACAGCUAUCAGGCUACUGUACUGGGAUGCUCAGCCGCCAGCAGAUUUGUAGCCAUGGAGGCAGCCAGAGAGCAGGUACAGUGGCUGAUGGAGGUCUCCUUGGUCUGUCACUGCCAUGCCACCAUUGUGGCUGCUCUGUGCAAGUGUCUUCAGCUGUGCUGUGUGAGCAGUGCAGGUUUCUGCCAGAAAUGGUGCUAGACCAUUCUAGGAAAAAUCAUUCCUGAAGCACUCUCUUGUCCUCAUUUUCUACUUUGUUUCUGCUUUAUUUUUUCAUGCUCUUGAUUUUCAUGCAGGGAAGGGCAAAGGAAGUUUGAUUAUUGCAAUAGCUGCAGUCAAAGUUUGUUGGUAGCACAGCUGCUGGCCUACAAAACUGCAGUUCUCCACUGCUGAAACCUCCAGAUGUGCUUAUACAAAUUGCUUUGCAUGUCUGCCUCUCAUCACUGUAGUGUAAAGUACCUAAAAAUUGAAAAUAAUGCUUAUUUGUGUUCUCUUCUUUCCUUCUGCCCCCUCAGAAAACAGUAGGGGGCAUCAACUAUGUGAAAGACUUAGGUGAUGCUCUGGAUUUUGGUACCCUGCUUUUCUCUGCAGUGGGGUCUGGUUGGCUUUCUCUGACUGUCCAGUGUUGUUUCAGGGGAGCAGCAGCACUCUUUGCAGCAGAGAUUGUGGAGUACCCAGUUAAGGAAUUUCUGUGGAGAAAAUAUCUGCUCUCCUUUCUGUUUUCCUUGAAUGAAAACAUAUUGAAGUGUUCACUUAAAUAUGGCUUUUAAACAUUAGUUACAUCAAAAUGAGAUGACUAGUAUUCUUACUUGCUUUGAAGUGUAUUUUCCUGCAUAAAUGAACCCUGAGCUCAGACAAACAAUCUUAUGCGGUGUCA
Non-coding RNA from Sturnus vulgaris (Common starling), 3704 nucleotides. The record is from RefSeq and is a predicted model, not a curated record. Lineage: Eukaryota; Metazoa; Chordata; Aves; Passeriformes; Sturnidae.